UAACCCUAUUUAAUGCUGUUAAAUAAAACAGCUAAAGCAUAUAUAACGAAGUGACAAACAGGAAUUAUAUAAAAUCUUAAUAUACAAAUGUAAAUUGUAGUUGUAAGCAUUAAUUUAUAGAAGCAAAUCAGAAUGUGAAGAUAAAAUUCUUAAUAUGUAAAUCAUUAGAAGUAAAACUAAAGUCUGAAUAUUGCAGUUCAUUGUAAAUAUGUAGUUAUAAUUCUGAAUACAUCAAUUUAAAUUGCAAUAUGUAGGCACAUAUUUAUUUGAAUUAAUAGCUACAUAAAUAUAUAUGUAGGUAAUAUAAAUAUGUAUUUUGAUUUACUUAAUAUACACACUCAGAAUUAUGUAUUCUGAUAAGCUUCUAUAUAUUCACAGUUUACAUAUUCUGUUUUUAUAUAAUUAUUUUGUGUUCGGCACUUCAUAAUAUAUAAAACAUAUACAGUUUUACAUUUUACAUUACAAAAUAAUAUGAAAACAUUUACGACCAACAUAUAAUGCUACAUAUUUACUGUACACUUUGUUAAAUCGAUGUAAUAUCUUAAUAGUAAAAAUUGAUAAAAUAUAGUAAUAAUAGUAAAAUAUUUGUUAUAUUAUAUUAAUACAUCUUAAUAUGUUCUGAAUUAGCAUGGGUGAGCAGUUUUUCCCUAAGAAAAUUAAAAUCAAUAUUAAACUGAAAAUAAAACCUGGCUAUAGAUUAAAACUUUUUCAAUAUGGAAUAAACCUUACCUAAAGGAACAAACGCCAACCUGAAAUCAUUCACAUUCGAUUUUGAUUUUAUAUUUUGCUAUAUACACAGCACUUUAAGCUAUAAAAUGUACAUAUACAUAACAGCGGCUUUUUAAGUCAGUGAGCUACUGUACAGGAACACCAGUUUCUGAGUAUGUAUCAGCCCCUUGAAUUGUAUAGCAUUUGGUGACACCUGCCAGAGACAUCACUGCAUAUGAUUGGCUGCUGAAAACACUAGCUGGGAGCUUCAGUUGUCUGUAUGGAGGCUGUUAUGGUAGUCCUGCAAAGCUCAGUGAGGAACUCAUCAUUCUAAACAAUGGCUUGCUGUUUGCUACUAGUUUUAAUGACAUUCAUCGGUGCGAGUAUUCAAGACAGCAUUACCCCAACGUCUCCUGAAGUCUAUGCAAAGGCCAAUGAAAAAGUGACGCUCUCUUGUAAAUACCAGUACACAGUGUCAAUGAAUAAUCUACAGUGGUAUCGGCAUUACCACAACUCUACGCCGGAGUUUCUGGUUUUAAUCAUGGAGUCGGGACAGAAUCAAACCGCUACGCCUCCUCAUCCUCGGCUGACAGCUUCAGUUAAUAAAGAUAGGACGGUGAAUCUAGAAAUCUUUCCUGCAGAUGUGGAGGACUCUGCUGUGUAUUACUGCGCACUGCAGCCCACAGAGACAGGAAACGCUUGAACACCGUACAAAAACCUACUCAGUGCUAAACGGAGAACAAAAUUCAGAUCGGAUCAGCCUUUGAGAGUGCGCACGAAGGCCUCAAGGGGGCAGCACUUUUUAUGACGCUGAACAACAUCAUAAGCAUGGGCACAAAGCUGAAAUGUGACAAGUGACAGCAUGUGACUAUGAAAGAUUUUGAACAGUCGCACACAGCUGAUCAGUACA
Non-coding RNA from Puntigrus tetrazona (Sumatra barb), 1618 nucleotides. NCBI's taxonomy places the organism in Eukaryota, Metazoa, Chordata, Actinopteri, Cypriniformes, Cyprinidae. The record is from the annotation of a RefSeq genome assembly.